GUGGGGAAUAUUGGGCAAUGGGCGAAAGCCUGACCCAGCAACGCCGCGUGAAGGAAGAAGGUUUUCGGAUCGUAAACUUCUAUCCUUGGUGAAGAUAAUGACGGUAGCCAAGAAGGAAGCCCCGGCUAACUACGUGCCAGCAGCCGCGGUAAUACGUAGGGGGCAAGCGUUGUCCGGAAUGAUUGGGCGUAAAGGGCGCGUAGGCGGCCCGGUAAGUCUGAAGUGAAAGUCCUGCUUUUAAGGUGGGGAUUGCUUUGGAUACUGUCGGGCUUGAGUGCAGGAGAGGUAAGCGGAAUUCCCGGUGUAGCGGUGAAAUGCGUAGAGAUCGGGAGGAACACCAGUGGCGAAGGCGGCUUACUGGACUGUAACUGACGCUGAGGCGCGAAAGUGUGGGGAGCAAACAGGAUUAGAAACCCGAGUAGUCC
RNAcentral lists this ribosomal RNA (425 nucleotides) under uncultured bacterium. Its description in RNAcentral is "partial 16S ribosomal RNA". It matches the Rfam family "Bacterial small subunit ribosomal RNA", at positions 354 to 796 of the family's 1533-position model. The record is from RNAcentral.